RNAcentral lists this long non-coding RNA (1717 nucleotides) under Homo sapiens (human). Its description in RNAcentral is "non-protein coding lnc-DTWD2-1:4". Lineage: Eukaryota; Metazoa; Chordata; Mammalia; Primates; Hominidae. The record is from RNAcentral.
UCCUGACCCAGCCCGAGUGGCGCAAGCAGUACGCGCUCGCACUCCCCGCCUGACCUGUCCCUUCCCGGCUCCGGUGCCCGCCACCCCCACAGUCCUCCGCCACUCACUACGCGCCUCUGGAUCCCUGCGGCCGAAAUAUCGCGAGACUUCGCUCGGGGCAGCUGCUACUGUGGUAAAGAAUUCACUUUUUUACCACAGCGUGCGUAUCAGCAAGUGAACAUAAAAACGCCUCUUCUAGUCAGAAACUGGCCAAUCCCGACCCCCGGUCCACCUAGGGCUCCGCCCACCACCGAGAAUAAGCCAAUCUCUUUGAGGCUUCUACAGGAGAACGCCGUGCGUUUGAGCUUGAACCUGAUAAGCCUGGCAGAAGCCUGAUGAACCCAGAAUGAGUGAGAUGUGGUAAGUUGUGCUUUAGGUUAGGGCGUCAUCUAACUGUUGGGCCAGAAAAUUUAAAGGGGAGAAGUGCAUCCUAAAGGGAGUUGCAGUUUCCUCGGUUCUGGUAGGACUACAAGUCCCAAUAUGCACCGCUCCCCCGGGCGACCUGAGUGUCUCUUGAGUAAAUGUGACCCUUGAAACGUCUACGUUAGCAGCUUAAUGGUUUCUCCAGCCUUGCGCGUGUUUCCAAGUCCCUAAACGGGAUGGUUUUUGAAAGGCUCGAACACUUGACAAGUAGGAAAGUGGUAUUUUCUUAGCCUAAGUUAUCUUAACACGUGAUUUGAAAUAGUGCUGGUAAUAACAACACACCAGCCCUGCAUUGAGCGUUUGUUUUGGAAAAGAACCUAGGAAUUCCAGAAUGAUCAGAGUCACAGCUACAAACUGAGAUUCAACUCUCAUUGUAUUUUGACACAAGUUUUGUAUUAUAAUUGACAAACAUCUGUUUAUAUGUCUCCCCCUGUAUACCGUAAGCCUCUUUGGAAUACAGAGGAACAGGACACAAGUCUGUCCUUAAUGUCUAGCACCGCACCAGUCCCACCCAUUCAGGGUGUUCUGUAAAUGUUGCAUGAAUGUGUAUAGAAACUCUCCAAAUAGGCCAGGCACGGUGACUCACGCCUAUUAUUCCAGAACUUUGGGAGGCCGAGGAGGGUGAAUCACGAGGUCAGGAGUUCGAGACCAGCCUGGCCAACAUAGUGAAACCCCCUUCUCUACUAAAAAUACAAAAAUUAGCCGGGCGUGGUGGCUCCCACCUGUAAUCCCAGCUACUCGGGAGGUUGAGGCAGGAGAAUCACUUGAACCCGGGAGGCAGAGGUUGUAGUGAGCCAAGACCCCCGUUGCACUCCAGCCUGGGUGACAGAGUGAGAUCCCGUCUCAAAACAAACAACCCUCAAAACUCUCCAAUAGGCCAGGCACGAUGGCUCACGCCUGUAAUCCCAGCACUUUGGUAAGUCGAGGUGGGGGCGGGGGGAUCACCUGAGGUUGGGAGUUCGAGACCAGCCUGGCUAACAUUGUGAAACCCAGUUUCUACUAAAAAUUAAAAAAUUAGCCUGGCAUGGUGGCACGCGCCUGUAAUCCCAGCUACUGGGAAGCUGAGGCGAGAGAAUCGCUUGAACCUGGGAGACGGAGGUUGCAGUGAGCCAAGAUCGUGUCAUUGCACUCCAGCUUGGGCAACAAGAGAGAAAGUCAAAAAAAAAAAAAAAAAAGAGAGAAAAGAAAAUAAAGAAACUCCCCCUUUUGUUGUAGUAUGAAGACUUCAAACUAUAAUAAUACUAGGGUGGGACGA